Non-coding RNA from Ceratotherium simum simum (southern white rhinoceros), 102 nucleotides. NCBI's taxonomy places the organism in Eukaryota, Metazoa, Chordata, Mammalia, Perissodactyla, Rhinocerotidae. The record is from RefSeq and is a predicted model, not a curated record.
UAUAUGAAGAGGCAAAAGACUCAGAAUAGCCAACUCAAUACUGAAGGAGAAGAACAGAGUUGGAAGACUGACACUACCUGAUAUCAAGACUUACUACAAAGC